UUAAAUUGAAGAGUUUGAUCAUGGCUCAGAUUGAACGCUGGCGGCAGGCCUAACACAUGCAAGUCGAACGGUAACAGGAAGAAGCUUGCUUCUUUGCUGACGAGUGGCGGACGGGUGAGUGAAUGUCUGGGAAACUGCCGUGAAUGGAGGGGAUAACUACUGGAAACGGUAGCUAAUAC
RNAcentral lists this ribosomal RNA (179 nucleotides) under Escherichia sp. E2661. RNAcentral describes it as "partial 16S ribosomal RNA". It matches the Rfam family "Bacterial small subunit ribosomal RNA", at positions 1 to 169 of the family's 1533-position model. Lineage: Bacteria; Pseudomonadati; Pseudomonadota; Gammaproteobacteria; Enterobacterales; Enterobacteriaceae. The record is from RNAcentral.